RNAcentral lists this ribosomal RNA (137 nucleotides) under uncultured eukaryote. RNAcentral's name for it is "partial 18S ribosomal RNA". It matches the Rfam family "Eukaryotic small subunit ribosomal RNA", at positions 1299 to 1458 of the family's 1831-position model. The record is from RNAcentral.
UGGUGGAGUGAUUUGUCUGCUUAAUUGCGAUAACGAACGAGACCUUAACCUGCUAAAUAGCCCGGCCGGCCUUGGCCGGUCGCCGGCUUCUUAGAGGGACUAUCGGCUCAAGCCGAUGGAAGUUUGAGGCAAUAACA